CCCACCCCCACCCAAAAGCAAACCCUACGAGAGCAGCACCCCCAGGAACUCUGCCGAGGUGGCUCCGCCGCUGCCGAGCAGACGAGAGGCCAAACCUCCCCCUCCGCCCCCCAAAACCCGAAAAUGCAGCGUCACCUCCGCGGAGCUGCCCUGAGGAUCCACAUCCCAGGGACCAUCUGUGCCGCCUUCUGUGGGGUUUGGGGGAAUCACCCCAAAAAAGGAGCGAAUUUGGGGUUGAAAUCCCUGUCCUGUUUGGCUGUUCUGCAAUCCCAGCAGCUCCAUCCCAGUCACACUGGGAAUCUCGGACUGGUCUCACUGGUUUUGGGGCUGCAGGGCACUGGCGUUUCCUGCCCGAGUCCAGUUCUGUGCUGGGUUUGGGGUCAGUUCUCAUCUCCUCUGCCAUCCCAACGCUUCUGUGGGGUUUUGUUGGGGAACGACCCCAAAAGGAGCGAAUUUGGGGUUGGGUUCCCUGCCCUGUUUGGCUGUUCUGCAAUCCCAGCAGCUCCAUCCCAGUGCCACUGGGAAUCUCGGACUGGUUUUAGGAUCUUGGACUGGUUUUGGGCUGCAGGGGACUGGGGUUUCCUGCCCGAGUCCAGUUCUGUGCUCAGCUCGUGUUGGGUUUGGGGAAAAACUCAUUUUGUGCUGGUUUUGGGGAAAACCUCAUUUUGUGCUGGUUUUAGGGAAAAAAAACCACUUCAUUUUGGGUUUGGGGAAAAACUCAUUUUGUUCUGGAUUUGGGGUCAGUUCUCAUCUCCUCUGCCAUCCCAAUGCCUCUGUGGUGUUUUCUUGGGGAAUGACCCCAAAAGGAGAGAAUUUGGGGUUCAAAUCCCUGCCCUGUUUGUUCUGCAAUCCCAGUGCCACUGGGAAUCUCGGACUGGUCUCACUGGUUUUGGGGCUUCAGGGCACUGGGAUUUCCUGCCCGAGUCMAGUUCUGUGCUCAGCUCGUGUUGGGUUUGGGGAAAAAACCUCAUUUUGUGCUGGUUUUAGGG
Long non-coding RNA from Malurus melanocephalus (red-backed fairy wren), 989 nucleotides. RefSeq lists it as uncharacterized. The transcript is spliced from 2 exons. The record is from RefSeq and is a predicted model, not a curated record. Lineage: Eukaryota; Metazoa; Chordata; Aves; Passeriformes; Maluridae.